GACGAACGCUGGCGGCGUGCUUAACACAUGCAAGUCGAACGCAAAUUCCCUGCUUUUGUGUGGUUCUCGAGUCGCGAACGGGUGAGUAACACGUGAGUAACCUGCCCUUUACUUUGCGAUAACUUCAGGAAACUCGGGCGAAUACCGGAUCUAAUCUCCCGCUGCAUGGUUUGGGGUGUAAAGUUUCGGUGGUUGGGGAUGGACUAUCGGAUUAUCAGCUUGUUGGUGGGGUAGUGGCUUACCAAGGCGUUGACGGGUAGCCGGCCUGCGAGGGUGACAGGGCACAGUGGGACAGAGAUGCGGCCCAGAGUCAUCCGGGGGGCAGGGGUGGGGGAUAUUGCAAGAUGCGCCGAGGCCUGAAGCAGCAACGCCGCGUGCGAGAUGACGGUUUUUGGGGUGUAAAAAGGUUGCGCGUGUAAAGUAGAGUGCGUGACGGUAACGGGUCAAGAAGCCACGGCUAACUACGUG
RNAcentral lists this ribosomal RNA (468 nucleotides) under uncultured bacterium. RNAcentral's name for it is "partial 16S ribosomal RNA". It matches the Rfam family "Bacterial small subunit ribosomal RNA", at positions 28 to 507 of the family's 1533-position model. The record is from RNAcentral.